CCUAACACUGACACACACAGCCUAACUUUUCUCACUAAGUCUGAACUGUAACACAGAAGGCUACUAGUCUAAUAGCAUAGAUUACUUUUAAAGUAGGCCUACACCUGAUUUGGGUCACAGAUUAUCCAUGGUAUUGAUCAGAUACUCUAGUGGCCGCUGUGACAAUAAAAAUAAAUGUUUUUAAAAAAUGGAGGCAGUCGGGAGGAGGCAAGAUCAGGUAGGUCUGUCCUAACCAAUGAGAGGGUAGAUAUGCGCUUGAACAACUGGUGCAGUAGUUACCCCAGCCACAACGUUAGCUAUGUCGUAAAAAUUAUUUGAGGGUUUUAAUUUAAAGUUAGGGUUUGGUAUAAGGUAGCAGUGUGGUUAAGGUUAUGGUCAUAUAAAAACGUAUACAAAAAUAAAGAAAAGUUUAGGGUUAGGUUUAAAAUCACAUUUUAAGAAGAGAAAUUCUAGAAAUAGGCACGGUUUAUGACUUUGUGGCUGUGGUAAAGUGACGACCAGGCACAACUCUAAUAUAAAGUGUUUUUUUCUCAAAGUUGCCGGGAUGUCACGUGUCCUAUUUAUAUCAGUACACUCGUAACAACCUAAUCAUUACGAAACAUUUAUUCUAUCAAAUAAGCCACACGUAACAAAUAAGCCAUUACAUUUUUUGUUAACCAAAUUUGAUACUCUCAUUGACCUCCAUACAAAAAUCCCUCGCUGGAGAAGAACCUCUUUGGUUAGGUUACAUUGUAGGGUUAUUUUUGGUGUUGAUGAGUUGCUAUAGUGAUGGAAGAAUAAACUGCAGAAAAUAAUUAGCCUAGGCACAGAAUAGACUGAGUGAGCUACCUGCUAGCCAGCUGCACAGAAAGAUAGAUAGGACACAUUUUCAAUUUACUGGUAUUUAGCAAUAUUUUUAUUGCGAUUGUAGGGCUUUAGCCACUGAAUAUAGGUAGUUUUUACUUGAAAGAAUAAAACCAUCACUUACAAAAUUCGCUGCUGGCAUAAUACAGCCAGUGCCAUGCAGCGCUGCCUCUCGCCCGACUUGUUGCCUCAGCAAGCGCCUCAAGCACUCCCACACAGCCAGCAUGCAAGCAACCCCCCCAGCUCGUCUCAUGUCUUUACAUGCUUUAAUUGUAAAAAAUCUAUUCACUUUUAGUGUGCCAUGAACACAUGUUGAUUGUCAAGCAAAUCACUUUAAAAAAAGGUUACUUUCGCACAUUCAUCCAAAAUAAUUCAGCAUCCGAACAGUGCACUGUGCACCCACCAACUUUCCUUAAAUUUGCAAGUGGAUGCUGGCCUUCUAGGCAGAGUUCCUUUGUCCAGUGUCUGUGUUCUCAUUAAAUGGUACCCGCAAAAAAACUGUCUCUACGUCAACAGUGAAGAGGCGACUCCAGGAUGCUGGCCUUCUAGGCAGCGUUGCAAAGAAAAAGCCAUAUCUCAGACUGGCCAAUAAAAUAAAAUAUUAAGAUGGGCAAAAGAACACAGACACUGGACAGAGGAACUCUGCCUAGAAGGCCAGUAUCCCGGAGUCGCCUCUUCACUGUUGACGUUGAGACUGGUGUUUUGCAGGUACUAUUUAAUGAAGCUACCAGUUGAGGACUUGUUGUUUCUCAAACUAGACACACUAACGUACUUGUCCUCUUGAUUAGAUGUGCACUGGGGCCUCCCACUCCUCUCUCUAUUCUGGUUAGAGCCAGUUUGUGCUGUUCUGUGAAGGGAGUAGUACACAGCAUUGUACGAGAUCUUCAGUUUCUUGGCAAUUGUAGAUAUUCCAUUAAAAAUCAGCCGUUUCCAGCUACAGUGGUUCCUCCUACAAAAGUUGCGAACACCGCAGGAAUUAGAGGUACCCAGCGUCACGGCUUCAUUGCUCCAGACCACCACAAGGGGGAGUUAGAGCACUCAUUACGCAUUUGGGUCCCAAGGUUUUUAUAUGACCAAUCAUAUCGAGUGGUUCCAAUGACGAAUUUGACACGGAGCCAUGGUGACUUUUUUCAGCAAAGAUGGCUGACAAAACAUUACGGGGAGGCAAAUGUAAGUAGUUAUAACAUCAUAACGAGUCAAGCAAAAAAAUAUACAAUUGUGAGGAAUAUGUUAGUUAAUGUAGAAACAAAUGAAUUGUGCAUAUUUUUUGGUCAUAAAGUUAAUUUACGAAAAUCGCUAUUUUGCACGUUUUUCUUCUGUCAUAUCCAAAACCAGGUGUAUCAAACGCCAUUCUGUGAAGAAUGCUGUGUCUGCAUGUACAGUUUGUAUUACAAUUAUACACUUCAACAGUGUUUACCACUCCUGCUCCUGGGACAUCAAUGAUUACACAUUGUAGCUAUGCAAUAGACUAGAAACAUUAUUUUGUAAUUCAUAUACAGAAUAAAAAACAGUACAUCCUGCCAGCACGCCCACAAGCGUGCUGAAUGACGCGUGGAAAAGAGAGCGAGGAAUGAGAUAGGAGUAACAAUCCAGGCUAUUUGUCUGAGUUCAGGCUGUAUCACAUCCGACCGUAAUUGGGAGUGCCAUAGGGCGGCGCACAAUUGGCCAGCAGGUUUGGCCGGGGUCUGCUGGUGCUGGGGUAGGCUGGUGCUGAAAAUAUAGCUAAAUUGUUAUGCAAGUGUUGCACACCAACAGAUGGAGAAAACCUACACCAGUUGAGAAAUUAAUUUCAACAAUAAUCUUCAUUUUAAUUUGACUUUACGAACAAUAAGAGGGCUUAAUUGGAGUCUAUUUCUUCGGGGCCUAGACCUAUAUAAAUGAACUUAACUGGCUGAGGCAGGCUAUGAGGCUUUAUUAGGACAACUUACAACUGCAACUGGUCAGAAUUGGAGCAUGCUACAUAAAACAAUCAUUUAAAGAAAAAAAGUCUGCACGUUAGAUCUAAACAAUGUAACUAAUAAUUAAAAGCGCACAUUUGUAAAUCCCAAACUCUAAAAGUAAUUGGAAAGGCCAAUUAUGUGUGACACAAUACAGAAUGUAAACAAGAUGUAAACAAGAUGCUGUGUUUUUAUUUACAGUAGUGAUGGACAACUGGAGGCAUUUUGAAAACAGGUUUUCAAACACUUGUUUUUCACAACUGUAGCAGGUGUAGCCCAUCAUGCAAAUGUUUCCUAUUAGCAGGACAAUAGACUUUUUAUAACCCGGCUACUGUUGGGAAAAAUCCCCCAACUUGCAAAGUAUUCGAUGCUUAAGUACUCUAAAGUGUUACAUUUCUAACUCAAAGCAGCAGUACAGUAUUUAUUCAGCAACAUCUUUAUGCUUUUGUUAAUAAAAUAAAAUAAUGAGAAAAAGACAUUGAAAUGCGGAUGUUUAUAUAAACUAAAUUUUAGUCGCACUUCCACCCAGCUCCACGACCACAGGUAAAACCUUACUGAGAUGAUCAAUGUAUUUGUUGUAUUGUUGUAUUGUCAAUUUCUCUAGUCAAAACAUCUUGAUGGCCUUGACCAGUUUAUCUUUGAGCAAAUUGCUCAAUGGCUGUCUGCAAUCUGCUGUAUACUUAUAGCCUAUUGUAACCUGAAAGUCAUGCCUUUCCUCACCCCGCCCAAAACUACACCCUAAAAACAGUUACUAUUCCAAAACGGGUUGUUAAUAAAAAUGUAAAAAUCACAUUGAGACUAAAGAGAACAAACGGAAUGGACAUCGUUUUCAUCAAGCCAGCUUCUUUCUAUGGUGCUACCCGUUCCAGGGUUAGGACUGUAACCACCAGCUUCUUUCUAUGGUGCUACCCGUUCCAGGGUUAGGACUGUAACCACCAGCUUCUUUCUAUGGUGCUACCCGUUCCAGGGUUAGGACUGUAACCACCAGCUUCUUUCUAUGGUGCUACCCGUCCCAGGGUUAGAACUGUAACCACCAGCUUAUUUCUAUGGUGCUACCCGUUCCAGGGUUAGGACUGUAACCACCAGCUUCUUUCUAUGGUGCUACCCGUUCCAGGGUUAGGACUGUAACCACCAGCUUAUUUUAUGGUGCUACCCGUUCCAGGGUUAGGACUGUAACCACCAGCUUCUUUCUAUGGUGCUACCCGUUCCAGGGUUAGGACUGUAACCACCAGCUUCUUUCUAUGGUGCUACCCAUCCCAGGGUUAGGACUGUAACCACCAGCUUCUUUCUAUGGUGCUACCCGUUCCAGGGUUAGGACUGUAACCACCAGCUUCUUUCUAUGGUGCUACCCGUUCCAGGGUUAGGACUGUAACCACCAGCUUCUUUCUAUGGUGCUACCCGUCCCAGGGUUAGAACUGUAACCACCAGCUUAUUUCUAUGGUGCUACCCGUUCCAGGGUUAGGACUGUAACCACCAGCUUCUUUCUAUGGUGCUACCCGUUCCAGGGUUAGGACUGUAACCACCAGCUUAUUUUAUGGUGCUACCCGUUCCAGGGUUAGGACUGUAACCACCAGCUUCUUUCUAUGGUGCUACCCGUUCCAGGGUUAGGACUGUAACCACCAGCUUCUUUCUAUGGUGCUACCCAUCCCAGGGUUAGGACUGUAACCACCAGCUUCUUUCUAUGGUGCUACCUGUUCCAGGGUUAGGACUGUAACCACCAGCUUCUUUCUAUGGUGCUACCUGUUCCAGGGUUAGGACUGUAACCACCAGCUUCUUUCUAUGGUGCUACCCGUCCCAGGGUUAGAACUGUAACCACCAGCUUAUUUCUAUGGUGCCCCCCGUUCCAGGAUUAGGACUGUAACCACCAGCUUCUUUCUAUGGUGCUACCCGUUCCAGGGUUAGGACUGUAAAAACCAGCUUCUUUCUAUGGUGCUACCUGUUCCAGGGUUAGGACUGUAAUCACCAGCUUCUUUCUAUGGUGCUACCCGUUCCAGGGUUAGGACUGUAACCACCAGCUUCUUUCUAUGGUGCUACCCGUUCCAGGGUUAGGACUGUAACCACCAGCUUCUUUCUAUGGUGCUACCCGUUCCAGGGUUAGGACUGUAACCACCAGCCUCUUUCUAUGGUGCUACCCAUUCCAGGGCUAGGACUGUAACCACCAGAGGACUUGAAAAUGAGCUGGAGCUGAGAGGAUCACCAAAACUAAAGUGCUUACAACCAUGCCGACAACCAUCCGUGGAGAUCAGUUUACUAAGGGCUGGACAACGGGCCACACCGAAAAAACACAUGGCCACUGUAAUCGAUGGGGGCUCAGGGCGGUACCAUUCUGCUCAUCUGAUGAAGGUGCUCAUGGGUGAGAUUCAAACUUUGAAGACCGAGAUCGAGUCAUUGAAGGGAGCCCAGCAGAAGGUCCAGAGCCAGGUGGUAUUGGAGGAGAGUCACUCCUCAUUAGCAGAGAGUCAGGUGGAGAUGUGUAACCGAAGAGAGAUACCAAAAGUGGGCACAGAAUACAAACUGGGAUGGAUCCCGAGGCAAAUGUGGCUUACCAGUGAACCUCUGGGUGUUCAUCAUUAAUACUGUGUCUCAGAAGUUUCCAGCCAUGACUGAUGCAACCCGAAAAAGCAUUAAAGACAGAGUUAAUGAGCACUUGAGUUCACAGAGAAAGUCUGGACAUGGCCUGCUCUCCCUUAUGUAAGGACUUUCCCAUGUUUACUACAGUAUGUACUGUAUGCUAUGUUUUGUUAAUAAAAUAUCUAAAACUA
Molecule: long non-coding RNA, 5542 nt
Organism: Oncorhynchus nerka (sockeye salmon)
Lineage: Eukaryota; Metazoa; Chordata; Actinopteri; Salmoniformes; Salmonidae
Exons: 3
Source: RefSeq, a predicted model, not a curated record